Molecule: long non-coding RNA, 911 nt
Filed under: Ananas comosus (pineapple)
Lineage: Eukaryota; Viridiplantae; Streptophyta; Magnoliopsida; Poales; Bromeliaceae
Description: long non-coding RNA (ACOM_LNC000854)
Source: RNAcentral
UAUUUCGACAUCGUAGUGUAUUUUAUUAGUUUAUUUCAUAUCAUGCUCUACUACUCACCUUAUUACUAUUUGUUUGCUAUCCUUGCAUCUGAUAGAUUUAGUGGUGUAGGUCAUCAUUGUUAAUGACUAUACCCACUGACUGCGUUUGGUUCAGAUAUAAGUAAGAACUAUUUAUUCUAAAGAUAGGUACAAGUUUGGGCAUAAGCAAGAAUUAGACCAAUUUUGCGUUUGAAUAAAAAUUGGGUUAUUCAUAGGAAGAAAAUAAAUAGUAUUUGGAUGGUUAGAUUGGAACAAAGAGAAUAAGAGUUAUAAUUUUAAAUUAAAAUUAUUUUAUCUAAUUAAUUAACUUCAAAAUAUUACUUAAAAGUCAUUUAAUAAAUUAAUAAAUUUAUUAGCUAUGAAUAUUAUAUAAGACAAUAAAAAUAUGUUAAUUAAUUAAUUAAUUAUGAACAAUAAUUUAAUGUUUUAAUUGGUUAGUAAAUUAUUUUAGCAGGAUAACUAAUAAAAAAAAUUAAAAUUAAUUAGAUUAAUAGAAAUAUUAACGGUUGAUCAAUAAAUAUUAGUUUAUGAAUAAAUACAUUAAAUUAUUAAUAAUUAAUAAAUUAAUUAAUUAUUUUAUUAUUUAAGCAAUAAAUAAUGAUUAAAAUAUAUUAAUUAGAUUAAUUAAUGAUUUAAUGUCGUAAUUAAAAUUAAAUUUAGACUUUAAUUAACCUUAUUCUCACAAGGGAAUAGGCUUGUUCGAGGAAAAUGGGUGAACAGCAGUUCCAGCUUUAUACCAACUUAUUCUAGUAACCCGAGGACUACUGUUCUCAGGUACCAAACACGGCAUUUAGAAACAAAGGGGGGAGCAAGGGCUUAUUCCCCCUGUUCCCGAACCAAACACUGCCAGUGAAAACUAUUGAUUAUAGUCC